CCUACGGGUGGCAGCAGUGGGGAAUAUUGCACAAUGGGGGAAACCCUGAUGCAGCGACGCCGCGUGAGUGAAGAAGUAUUUCGGUAUGUAAAGCUCUAUCAGCAGGGAAGAAAAUGACGGUACCUGAUUAAGAAGCCCCGGCUAACUACGUGCAAGCAGCCGCGGCAAUACGUAGGGGGCCAGCGUUAUCCGGAUUUACUGGGUGUAAAGGGAGCGUAGACGGCAGCACAAGUCUGGAGUGAAAUGCCGGGGCUUAACCGCGGAACUGAUUUUGAAACUGUGCAGCUAGAGUGCAGGAGAGGGAAGUGGAAUUCGUGGUGUAGCGGUGAAAUGCGGAGAUAUUAGGAGGAACACCGGUGGCGAAGGCAGCUUACUAGACUGUAACUGACGUUGAGGCUCGAAAGCGUGGGGAGCAAACAGGAUUAGAUACCCCUGUAGUC
RNAcentral lists this ribosomal RNA (440 nucleotides) under uncultured bacterium. RNAcentral's name for it is "partial 16S ribosomal RNA". It matches the Rfam family "Bacterial small subunit ribosomal RNA", at positions 338 to 795 of the family's 1533-position model. The record is from RNAcentral.